AACGAACGCUGGCGGCAUGCCUAACACAUGCAAGUCGAACGAGACCUUCGGGUCUAGUGGCGCACGGGUGCGUAACGCGUGGGAAUCUGCCCUUGGGUUCGGAAUAACAGUUGGAAACGACUGCUAAUACCGGAUGAUGACGUAAGUCCAAAGAUUUAUCGCCCAAGGAUGAGCCCGCGUAGGAUUAGCUAGUUGGUGAGGUAAAGGCUCACCAAGGCGACGAUCCUUAGCUGGUCUGAGAGGAUGAUCAGCCACACUGGGACUGAGACACGGCCCAGACUCCUACGGGAGGCAGCAGUGGGGAAUAUAGGACAAUGGGCGAAAGCCUGAUCCAGCAAUGCCGCGUGAGUGAUGAAGGCCUUAGGGUUGUAAAGCUCUUUUACCCGGGAUGAUAAUGACAGUACCGGGAGAAUAAGCUCCGGCUAACUCCGUG
This 433-nucleotide ribosomal RNA is filed under the name uncultured bacterium. RNAcentral describes it as "partial 16S ribosomal RNA". It matches the Rfam family "Bacterial small subunit ribosomal RNA", at positions 29 to 507 of the family's 1533-position model. The record is from RNAcentral.